Long non-coding RNA from Salvelinus fontinalis (brook trout), 4184 nucleotides. RefSeq lists it as uncharacterized. The transcript is spliced from 9 exons. The record is from RefSeq and is a predicted model, not a curated record. Lineage: Eukaryota; Metazoa; Chordata; Actinopteri; Salmoniformes; Salmonidae.
ACACACACCAUGUCCCCACUAGACACAGGUAGGUACCAACACACACCAUGUCCCCACUAGACACAGGUAGGUACCAACACACACCAUGUCCACACUAGACACAGGUAGGUACCAACACACACCAUGUCCACACUAGACACAGGUAGGUACCAACACACACCAUGUCCACACUAGACACAGGUACCGACACACACCAUGUCCCCACUAGACACAGGUAGGUACCAACACACACCAUGUCCCCACUAGACACAGGUACCAACACACACCAUGUCCCCACUAGACACAGGUAGGUACCAACACACACCAUGUCCCCACUAGACACAGGUAGGUACCAACACACACCAUGUCCCCACUAGACACAGGUACCGACACACACCAUGUCCCCACUAGACACAGGUAGGUACCGACACACACCAUGUCCCCACUAGACACAGGUGGGUACCAACACACACCAUGUCCCCACUAGACACAGGUAGGUACCAACACACACCAUGUCCCCACUAGACACAGGUAGGUACCAACACACACCAUGUCCCCACUAGACACAGGUAGGUACCAACACACACCAUGUCCCCACUAGACACAGGUACCAACACACACCAUGUCCCCACUAGACACAGGUACCAACACACACCAUGUUCCCACUAGACACAGGUAGGUACCAACACACACCAUGUCCCCACUAGACACAGGUAGGUACCAACACACACCAUGUCCCCACUAGACACAGGUAGGUACCAACACACACCAUGUCCCCACUAGACACAGGUAGGUACCAACACACACCAUGUCCCCACUAGACACAGAUAGGUACCAACACACACCAUGUCCCCACUAGACACAGGUAGGUACCAACACACACCAUGUCCCCACUAGACACAGGUACCGACACACACCAUGUCCCCACUAGACACAGGUAGGUACCAACACACACCAUGUCCCCACUAGACACAGGUACCAACACACACCAUGUCCCCACUAGAAACAGGUACCAACACACACCAUGUCCCCACUAGACACAGGGAGGUACCAACACACACCAUGUCCCCACUAGACACAGGGAGGUACCAACACACACCAUGUCCCCACUAGACACAGGGAGGUACCAACACACACCAUGUCCCCACUAGACACAGGUACCAACACACACCAUGUCCCCACUAGACACAGGGAGGUACCAACACACACCAUGUCCCCACUAGACACAGGUAGGUACCAACACACACCAUGUCCCCACUAGACACAGGGAGGUACCAACACACACCAUGUCCCCACUAGACACAGGGAGGUACCAACACACACCAUGUCCCCACUAGACACAGGUACCAACACACACCAUGUCCCCACUAGACACAGGUAGGUACCAACACACACCAUGUCCCCACUAGACACAGGUAGGUACCGACACACACCAUGUCCCCACUAGACACAGGUAGGUACCGACACACACCAUGUCCCCACUAGACACAGGUAGGUACCGACACACACCAUGUCCCCACUAGACACAGGUAGGUACCGACACACACCAUGUCCCCACUAGACACAGGUACCAACACACACCAUGUCCCCACUAGACACAGGUACCAACACACACCAUGUCCCCACUAGACACAGGUACCAACACACACCAUGUUCCCACUAGACACAGGUAGGUACCAACACACACCAUGUCCCCACUAGACACAGGUAGGUACCAACACACACCAUGUCCCCACUAGACACAGGUAGGUACCAACACACACCAUGUCCCCACUAGACACAGGUAGGUACCAACACACACCAUGUCCCCACUAGACACAGGUACCAACACACACCAUGUCCCCUCUAGACACAGGUAGGUACCAACACACACCAUGUCCCCACUAGACACAGGUAGGUACCAACACACACCAUGUCCCCACUAGACACAGGUAGGUACCAACACACACCAUGUCCCCACUAGACACAGGUACCAACACACACCAUGUCCCCACUAGACACAGGUACCAACACAAACCAUGUCCCCACUAGACACAGGUACCAACACACACCAUGUCCCCACUAGACACAGGUACCAACACACACCAUGUCCCCACUAGACACAGGUAGGUACCAACACACACCAUGUCCCCACUAGACACAGGUACCGACACACACCAUGUCCCCACUAGACACAGGUACCGACACACACCAUGUCCCCACUAGACACAGGUACCGACACACACCAUGUCCCCACUAGACACAGGUAGGUACCAACACACACCAUGUCCCCACUAGACACAGGUAGGUACCAACACACACCAUGUCCCCACUAGACACAGGUAGGUACCAACACACACCAUGUCCCCACUAGACACAGGUAGGUACCGACACACACCAUGUCCCCACUAGACACAGGUAGGUACCGACACACACCAUGUCCCCACUAGACACAGGUAGGUACCGACACACACCAUGUCCCCACUAGACACAGGUACCGACACACACCAUGUCCCCACUAGACACAGGUACCGACACACACCAUGUCCCCACUAGACACAGGUACCAACACACACCAUGUCCCCACUAGACACAGGUACCAACACACACCAUGUCCCCACUAGACACAGGUAGGUACCAACACACACCAUGUCCCCACUAGACACAGGUACCAACACACACCAUGUCCCCACUAGACACAGGUAGGUACCAACACACACCAUGUCCCCUCUAGACACAGGUACCAACACACACCAUGUCCCCACUAGACACAGGUAGGUACCAACACACACCAUGUCUCCUCUAGACACAGAUAGGUACCAACACACACCAUGUCCCCUCUAGACACAGGUAGGUACCAACACACACCAUGUCCCCACUAGACACAGGUACCAACACACACCAUGUCCCCUCUAGACACAGGUACCAACACACACCAUGUCCCCACUAGACACAGGUACCAACACACACCAUGUCCCCACUAGACACAGGUACCAACACACACCAUGUCCCCACUAGACACAGGUACCAACACACACCAUGUCCCCACUAGACACAGGUACCAACACACACCAUGUCUCCUCUAGACACAGGUAGGUACCAACACACACCAUGUCCCCACUAGACACAGGUACCAACACACACCAUGUCCCCACUAGACACAGGUACCAACACACACCAUGUCCCCACUAGACACAGGUACCAACACACACCAUGUCCCCACUAGACACAGGUACCAACACACACCAUGUCCCCACUAGACACAGGUACCAACACACACCAUGUCCCCACUAGACACAGGUAGGUACCAACACACACCAUGUCCCCACUAGACACAGGUAGGUACCAACACACACCAUGUCCACACUAGACACAGGUAGGUACCAACACACACCAUGUCCACACUAGACACAGGUAGGUACCAACACACACCAUGUCCCCACUAGACACAGGGAGGUACCAACACACACCAUGUCCCCACUAGACACAGGGAGGUACCAACACACACCAUGUCCCCACUAGACACAGGUACCAACACACACCAUGUCCCCACUAGACACAGGUAGGUACCGACACACACCAUGUCCCCACUAGACACAGGUAGGUACCGACACACACCAUGUCCCCACUAGACACAGGUAGGUACCGACACACACCAUGUCCCCACUAGACACAGGUAGGUACCGACACACACCAUGUCCCCACUAGACACAGGUAGGUACCGACACACACCAUGUCCCCACUAGACACAGGUACCGACACACACCAUGUCCCCACUAGACACAGGUACCGACACACACCAUGUCCCCACUAGACACAGGUAGGUACCAACACACACCAUGUCCCCACUAGACACAGGUACCAACACACACCAUGUCCCCUCUAGACACAGGUACCAACACACACCAUGUCCCCACUAGACACAGGUACCAACACACACCAUGUCCCCACUAGACACAGGUACCAACACAAACCAUGUCCCCACUAGACACAGGUACCAACACACACCAUGUCCCCACUAGACACAGGUACCAACACACACCAUGUCCCCACUAGACACAGGUAGGUACCAACACACACCAUGUCCCCACUAGACACAGGUACCAACACACACCAUGUCCCCUCUAGACACAGGUACCAACACACACCAUGUCCCCACUAGACACAGGUAGGUACCAACACACACCAUGUCCCCACUAGACACAGGUAGGUACCAACACACACCA